This 492-nucleotide ribosomal RNA is filed under the name uncultured bacterium. RNAcentral's name for it is "partial 16S ribosomal RNA". It matches the Rfam family "Bacterial small subunit ribosomal RNA", at positions 29 to 507 of the family's 1533-position model. The record is from RNAcentral.
AGUGAACGCUGGCGGUAGGCCUAACACAUGCAAGUCGAACGGCAGCACAGUAAGAGCUUGCUCUUACGGGUGGCGAGUGGCGGACGGGUGAGGAAUACAUCGGAAUCUACUUUUUCGUGGGGGAUAACGUAGGGAAACUUACGCUAAUACCGCAUACGACCUACGGGUGAAAGCAGAGGAUCUUCGGACCUUGCGCGAAUGAAUGAGCCGAUGUCGGAUUAGCUAGUUGGCGGGGUAAAGGCCCACCAAGGCGACGAUCCGUAGCUGGUCUGAGAGGAUGAUCAGCCACACUGGAACUGAGACACGGUCCAGACUCCUACGGGAGGCAGCAGUGGGGAAUAUUGGACAAUGGGCGCAAGCCUGAUCCAGCCAUACCGCGUGGGUGAAGAAGGCCUUCGGGUUGUAAAGCCCUUUUGUUGGGAAAGAAAAGCAGCAGGUUAAUACCCCGCUGUUCUGACGGUACCCAAAGAAUAAGCACCGGCUAACUUCGUG